CAGUAGCCACGGUAAUACGAAGGGUGCAAGCGUUACUCGGAAUUACUGGGCGUAAAGCGUGCGUAGGUGGUUGUUUAAGUCUGCUGUGAAAGCCCUGGGCUCAACCUGGGAAUUGCAGUGGAUACUGGGCAACUAGAGUAAGGUAGAGGAUAGUGGAAUUUCCGGUGUAGCAGUGAAAUGCGUAGAGAUCGGAAGGAACAUCUGUGGCGAAGGCGACUAUCUGGGUCAUUACUGACACUGAGGCACGAAAGCGUGGGGAGCAAACAGGAUUAGAUACCCCCGUAGUCCCUGUCUCUUAUAC
Molecule: ribosomal RNA, 301 nt
Filed under: uncultured bacterium
Lineage: Bacteria
Description: partial 16S ribosomal RNA
Rfam family: Bacterial small subunit ribosomal RNA
Source: RNAcentral